This 379-nucleotide ribosomal RNA is filed under the name Platyzosteria anceps. RNAcentral's name for it is "partial large subunit ribosomal RNA". The record is from RNAcentral. Lineage: Eukaryota; Metazoa; Arthropoda; Insecta; Blattodea; Blattidae.
CUCUUCUUGUUUAUAUGGGAAGUAUAACCUGCCCACUGAAUUAUAUUUGAAGGGCCGCGGUAUUUUGACCGUGCAAAGGUAGCAUAAUAAUUAGUCUUUUAAUUGAGGACUAGAAUGAAUGGUUGGACGAAGAAUAUUCUGUUUCUUUUAAAUUUACUUGAAUUUAAAAUUUAAGUAAAAAUGCUUAAAUUUUUUUAUGGGACGAGAAGACCCUAUAGAGUUUAAUAAAUUUUAUUAUUAUAAUUGUUAAAUUAAUAUAUUUAUUGUAAAAUUUAUUUUGUUGGGGUGAUAGGAAGAAUUAAUAAACUCUUUUUUGCAUUUAUAUAUUUAUAUAUAAUUUUUGUUGAUCCAUUUUUAUUGAUUAUAAGACUAAAUUACC